GGAUUAGAUACCCUGGUAGUCCACGCCGUAAACGAUGAUAACUAGCUGUCCGGAAGCUUAGCUUCUGGGUGGCGCAGCUAACGCAUUAAGUUAUCCGCCUGGGGAGUACGGCCGCAAGGUUAAAACUCAAAUGAAUUGACGGGGGCCUGCACAAGCGGUGGAGCAUGUGGUUUAAUUCGAAGCAACGCGCAGAACCUUACCAGCGUUUGACAUGUCCGGACGAUUUCCAGAGAUGGAUCUCUUCCCUUCGGGGACUGGAACACAGGUGCUGCAUGGCUGUCGUCAGCUCGUGCCG
Molecule: ribosomal RNA, 295 nt
Filed under: uncultured bacterium
Lineage: Bacteria
Description: partial 16S ribosomal RNA
Rfam family: Bacterial small subunit ribosomal RNA
Source: RNAcentral